GUCCGCGGCUGCUGCUGCGUCCGACCCCCGGCCGGCGCGGGUAUGGAGCUUGGGGGUCACUGGGACAUGAACUCGGCCCCGAGGCUGGUCUCGGAGACCGCAGAGCGGAAACAGGAGCAGAAGACAGGAACCGAGGCGGAGGCUGCCGACUCCGGUGCCGUCGGAGCCCGCCGCUUCCUGCUCUGUCUCUACUUGGUGGGCUUCUUGGUGAGUGCGAGCGUGGGGGCUGGGAGCAAGUGCUGACUGUGUUCGGGCCUGGGGACCCAGGCGGUUCUUGGAGCUUCCGGGGAGCUCCCAGGGAGUGGGAACCCGCAGUCCGCCUGGAUUUGUUUGGUGUCAGCAUGGUUGUGCCUUUAUUGAGCCUUCAUGUCAAGUCCCUUGGAGCAAGUCCAACAGUUGCUGGAAUAGUAGGCUCCUCCUAUGGCAUUUUGCAACUCUUUUCUAGCACAUUGGUGGGCUGCUGGAGCGAUGUAGUGGGAAGACGGUCUUCCUUGCUGGCAUGCAUUCUACUCAGUGCUCUGGGCUAUCUCCUUCUCGGAGCAGCCACCAAUGUGUUUCUGUUUGUCCUGGCUAGAGUCCCGGCAGGGCUCUACUUUCUGAUGUGGUUCCAGAGAAGGAACGGCCGCUUGUAAUCGGACACUUCAACACAGCCUCCGGUGUGGGCUUCAUCUUGGGCCCCGUGGUCGGUGGCUAUCUCACUGAAUUAGAGGAUGGGUUUUAUCUCACAGCCUUCAUCUGCUUUUUGGUCUUCAUUCUCAAUGCUGGUCUCGUUUGGUUCUUUCCAUGGAGGGAAGCAAAACCGGGCAGUACAGAGAAGGGCCUGCCAUUGCGAAAGACCCAUGUGCUGUUGGGAAGGAGCCAUGACACAGUGCAGGAGGCAGCCACCAGCCGCAGAGCCAGGGCCAGCAAGAAGACUGCCCAGCCCUGGGUCGAAGUAGUGUUGGCCUUGCGGAACAUGAAGAACCUGC
This 968-nucleotide long non-coding RNA is filed under the name Homo sapiens (human). RNAcentral describes it as "HSALNT0036707". Lineage: Eukaryota; Metazoa; Chordata; Mammalia; Primates; Hominidae. The record is from RNAcentral.